GGGGUUGGUCGCCGCGGCAGUUUCAAUCACUCAACUUCAAAGGAGCAAUUCUCACGACUGGAUCACUGGAUUGCAAUGAGAUUUGUUGGAGCAGGAGCGCCUUUAAGUUAACCUUGUAACAACUUACGAAUCAUUCAAUUUGGAGCUAAUGAAAAUUUUUGGCGAAUUUUGGAGUAGAAGGGAGUCGCUGGCUUCAAUCCUUGGCGUUG
RNAcentral lists this long non-coding RNA (209 nucleotides) under Physcomitrium patens. RNAcentral's name for it is "long non-coding RNA (PPAT_LNC006146)". The record is from RNAcentral. Lineage: Eukaryota; Viridiplantae; Streptophyta; Bryopsida; Funariales; Funariaceae.